RNAcentral lists this ribosomal RNA (718 nucleotides) under Halobacillus trueperi. RNAcentral's name for it is "bacterial SSU rRNA". It matches the Rfam family "Bacterial small subunit ribosomal RNA", at positions 56 to 742 of the family's 1533-position model. Lineage: Bacteria; Bacillati; Bacillota; Bacilli; Caryophanales; Bacillaceae. The record is from RNAcentral.
UGCAGUCGAGCGCGGGAAGCGAGCUGAUCCCUUCGGGGUGACGCUCGUGGAACGAGCGGCGGACGGGUGAGUAACACGUGGGCAACCUGCCUGUAAGAUCGGGAUAACUCCGGGAAACCGGGGCUAAUACCGGGUAAUACUUUCUUUCGCAUGAAGGAAAGUUGAAAGAUGGCUUCUCGCUAUCACUUACAGAUGGGCCCGCGGCGCAUUAGCUAGUUGGUGAGGUAACGGCUCACCAAGGCGACGAUGCGUAGCCGACCUGAGAGGGUGAUCGGCCACACUGGGACUGAGACACGGCCCAGACUCCUACGGGAGGCAGCAGUAGGGAAUCUUCCGCAAUGGACGAAAGUCUGACGGAGCAACGCCGCGUGAACGAUGAAGGUCUUCGGAUCGUAAAGUUCUGUUGUUAGGGAAGAACAAGUACCGUGCGAAUAGAGCGGUACCUUGACGGUACCUAACGAGGAAGCCCCGGCUAACUACGUGCCAGCAGCCGCGGUAAUACGUAGGGGGCAAGCGUUGUCCGGAAUUAUUGGGCGUAAAGCGCGCGCAGGCGGUUCCUUAAGUCUGAUGUGAAAGCCCACGGCUCAACCGUGGAGGGUCAUUGGAAACUGGGGAACUUGAGGACAGAAGAGGAGAGUGGAAUUCCACGUGUAGCGGUGAAAUGCGUAGAUAUGUGGAGGAACACCAGUGGCGAAGGCGACUCUCUGGUCUGUUUCUG